CAAUAUACAUAAUCGACACCCAAAGGAUCACACGUUAAGCUUCUGAAUGCUUUUACCAGUGUUCACUCAAAUAUAUCACCGGUGACUUACGAAAUUGUAUACCAUAAAAAUAAAUUCAGAAUUCUGGAGUGUUUUGAA
Long non-coding RNA from Haliotis rubra (blacklip abalone), 138 nucleotides. RefSeq lists it as uncharacterized. The transcript is spliced from 3 exons. Lineage: Eukaryota; Metazoa; Mollusca; Gastropoda; Lepetellida; Haliotidae. The record is from RefSeq and is a predicted model, not a curated record.